AGUGAACGCUGGCGGUAGGCCUAACACAUGCAAGUCGAACGGCAGCACAGUAAGAGCUUGCUCUUACGGGUGGCGAGUGGCGGACGGGUGAGGAAUACAUCGGAAUCUACUUUUUCGUGGGGGAUAACGUAGGGAAACUUACGCUAAUACCGCAUACGACCUACGGGUGAAAGCAGGGGAUCUUCGGACCUUGCGCGAUUGAAUGAGCCGAUGUCGGAUUAGCUAGUUGGCGGGGUAAAGGCCCACCAAGGCGACGAUCCGUAGCUGGUCUGAGAGGAUGAUCCGCCACACUGGAACUGAGACACGGUCCAGACUCCUACGGGAGGAAGCAGUGGGGAAUAUUGGACAAUGGGCGCAAGCCUGAUCCAGCCAUACCGCGUGGGUGAAGAAGGCCUUCGGGUUGUAAAGCCCUUUUGUUGGGAAAGAAAAGCAGCAGGUUAAUACCCCGCUGUUCUGACGGUACCCAAAGAAUAAGCACCGGCUAACUUCGUG
This 492-nucleotide ribosomal RNA is filed under the name uncultured bacterium. RNAcentral's name for it is "partial 16S ribosomal RNA". It matches the Rfam family "Bacterial small subunit ribosomal RNA", at positions 29 to 507 of the family's 1533-position model. The record is from RNAcentral.